UGGGGAAUAUUGGACAAUGGGCGAAAGCCUGAUCCAGCAAUGCCGCGUGAGUGAUGAAGGCCUUAGGGUUGUAAAGCUCUUUUACCCGGGAUGAUAAUGACAGUACCGGGAGAAUAAGCUCCGGCUAACUCCGUGCCAGCAGCCGCGGUAAUACGGAGGGAGCUAGCGUUGUUCGGAAUUACUGGGCGUAAAGCGCGCGUAGGCGGACUCUUAAGUCGGUGGUGAAAUCCUGGAGCUCAACUCCAGAACUGCCUUCGAUACUGGGAGUCUCGAGUUCGGGAGAGGUGAGUGGAACUGCGAGUGUAGAGGUGAAAUUCGUAGAUAUUCGCAAGAACACCAGGGGCGAAGGCGGCUCACUGGCCCGAUACUGACGCUGAGGUGCGAAAGCGUGGGGAGCAAA
This 400-nucleotide ribosomal RNA is filed under the name uncultured bacterium. Its description in RNAcentral is "bacterial SSU rRNA". It matches the Rfam family "Bacterial small subunit ribosomal RNA", at positions 355 to 772 of the family's 1533-position model. The record is from RNAcentral.